GACGAACGCUGGCGGCGUGCUUAACACAUGCAAGUCGAACGGAAAGGCCCUGCUUUUGUGGGGUGCUCGAGUGGCGAACGGGUGAGUAACACGUGAGUAACCUGCCCUUGACUUUGGGAUAACUUCAGGAAACUGGGGCUAAUACCGGAUAGGAGCUCCUGCUGCAUGGUGGGGGUUGGAAAGUUUCGGCGGUUGGGGAUGGACUCGCGGCUUAUCAGCUUGUUGGUGGGGUAGUGGAUUACCAAGGCUUUGACGGGUAGCCGGCCUGAGAGGGUGACCGGCCACACUGGGAUUGAGAUACGGCCCGGACUCCUACGGGAGGCAGCGGUGGAGAAUAUUGCACAAUGGGCGGGAGCCUGAUGCGGCAACGCCGCGUGCGGGAUGACGGGCUUCGGGUUGUGAACCGCUUUCGCCUGUGACGAAGCGUGAGUGACGGUAAUGGGUGAAGAAGCACCGGCUAACUACGUG
This 468-nucleotide ribosomal RNA is filed under the name uncultured bacterium. RNAcentral describes it as "partial 16S ribosomal RNA". It matches the Rfam family "Bacterial small subunit ribosomal RNA", at positions 28 to 507 of the family's 1533-position model. The record is from RNAcentral.